AGUGAACGCUGGCGGUAGGCCUAACACAUGCCAGUCGAACGGCAGCACAGUAAGAGCUUGCUCUUACGGGUGGCGAGUGGCGGACGGGUGAGGAAUACAUCGGAAUCUACUUUUUCGUGGGGGAUAACGUAGGGAAACUUACGCUAAUACCGCAUACGACCUACGGGUGAAAGCAGGGGAUCUUCGGACCUUGCGCGAUUGAAUGAGCCGAUGUCGGAUUAGCUAGUUGGCGGGGUAAAGGCCCACCAAGGCGACGGUCCGUAGCUGGUCUGAGAGGAUGAUCAGCCACACUGGAACUGAGACACGGUCCAGACUCCUACGGGAGGCAGCAGUGGGGAAUAUUGGACAAUGGGCGCAAGCCUGAUCCAGCAAUACCGCGUGGGUGAAGAAGGCCUUCGGGUUGUAAAGCCCUUUUGUUGGGAAAGAAAAGCAGCAGGUUAAUACCCCGCUGUUCUGACGGUACCCAAAGAAUAAGCACCGGCUAACUUCGUG
RNAcentral lists this ribosomal RNA (492 nucleotides) under uncultured bacterium. RNAcentral describes it as "partial 16S ribosomal RNA". It matches the Rfam family "Bacterial small subunit ribosomal RNA", at positions 29 to 507 of the family's 1533-position model. The record is from RNAcentral.